CCUACGGGGGGCAGCAGUGGGGAAUUUUGGACAAUGGGCGAAAGCCUGAUCCAGCCAUGCCGCGUGCAGGAUGAAGGCCUUCGGGUUGUAAACUGCUUUUGUACGGAACGAAAAGACUCCUUCUAAUAAAGGGGGUUCAUGACGGUACCGUAAGAAUAAGCACCGGCUAACUACGUGCCAGCAGCCGCGGUAAUACGUAGGGUGCAAGCGUUAAUCGGAAUUACUGGGCGUAAAGCGUGCGCAGGCGGUUAUAUAAGACAGAUGUGAAAUCCCCGGGCUCAACCUGGGAACUGCAUUUGUGACUGUAUAGCUAGAGUACGGCAGAGGGGGAUGGAAUUCCGCGUGUAGCAGUGAAAUGCGUAGAUAUGCGGAGGAACACCGAUGGCGAAGGCAAUCCCCUGGGCCUGUACUGACGCUCAUGCACGAAAGCGUGGGGAGCAAACAGGAUUAGAUACCCUGGUAGUC
This 465-nucleotide ribosomal RNA is filed under the name Acidovorax defluvii. RNAcentral's name for it is "bacterial SSU rRNA". It matches the Rfam family "Bacterial small subunit ribosomal RNA", at positions 338 to 795 of the family's 1533-position model. Lineage: Bacteria; Pseudomonadati; Pseudomonadota; Betaproteobacteria; Burkholderiales; Comamonadaceae. The record is from RNAcentral.